Molecule: ribosomal RNA, 497 nt
Filed under: uncultured bacterium
Lineage: Bacteria
Description: partial 16S ribosomal RNA
Rfam family: Bacterial small subunit ribosomal RNA
Source: RNAcentral
GAUGAACGCUGGCGGCGUGCCUAAUACAUGCAAGUCGAGCGAACAGACGAGGAGCUUGCUCCUCUGACGUUAGCGGCGGACGGGUGAGUAACACGUGGAUAACCUACCUAUAAGACUGGGAUAACUUCGGGAAACCGGAGCUAAUACCGGAUAAUAUAUUGAACCGCAUGGUUCAAUAGUGAAAGACGGUUUUGCUGUCACUUAUAGAUGGAUCCGCGCCGCAUUAGCUAGUUGGUAAGGUAACGGCUUACCAAGGCAACGAUGCGUAGCCGACCUGAGAGGGUGAUCGGCCACACUGGAACUGAGACACGGUCCAGACUCCUACGGGGGGCAGCAGUGGGGAAUCUUCGGCAAUGGGGGAAAGCCUGACGGAGCAACGCCGCGUGAGUGAUGAAGGUCUUCGGAUCGUAAAACUCUGUUAUUAGGGAAGAACAAAUGUGUAAGUAACUAUGCACGUCUUGACGGUACCUAAUCAGAAAGCCACGGCUAACUACGUG